RNAcentral lists this ribosomal RNA (318 nucleotides) under uncultured fungus. RNAcentral describes it as "partial 18S ribosomal RNA". The stretch from base 1 to 69 matches the Rfam family "Eukaryotic small subunit ribosomal RNA", at positions 1763 to 1831 of the family's 1831-position model. The record is from RNAcentral. Lineage: Eukaryota; Fungi.
UCUUGGUCAUUUAGAGGAAGUAAAAGUCGUAACAAGGUCUCCGUUGGUGAACCAGCGGAGGGAUCAUUACCGAGUUUUCAACUCCCAAACCCAUAUGUGAACCUACCUAUCGUUGCUUCGGCGGACCACCCCAACCCCUUCGGGGCGCGGGGCCCGCCAGAGGACACCCAAAAUUCAAAUGUAUUUUGCCUUUACAAAUUUAUUCUGAGUGGAAUUUUUAAAUAAAUCAAAACUUUCAACAACGGAUCUCUUGGUUCUGGCAUCGAUGAAGAACGCAGCCCCCCCGUGCCCCCGCCCCGCCCGCCGGCGCGGCGGGCG